AGUAGAUGAAGAAUCACCCCUAUAUUGGGGGCCACUACUCUAGCGUUUUCGAAAAAAUCGCUUUUGAAAUUUCGGAAAUUUUUUGUAUUAUUUAAAUAGCGAACGCUCGGGUAUUCGACUAUAUGUUGUUGUGGCGUAGUGGCUACGUCGGGAUUCCGACGGUCUGAGGAUGUAUAAACCUGAAAAAAUCUUUUUCCAGGUUUUAAAUUAACUGUCAUUGGAUUCAAAAUAUACGACAGCGACACUAUAUCACGUGAUACCAACACAUCUCACCAUCGAAAGUUGACUUGUAACUUGUAAGUGGAAACAUUCUACGCAUGUGCAAAAUCAGUUUGAGUAGGCACGUGGAUGAAAACAACAAUCAGUUCCAUGCGAAGGAAGAUUUCGGUAGUGGUUAAUCUGUUCGCCGCCGUUUUUCGUCUUAUAAGUGAAAUAUGUUAGACGACGAUUACAUUCUGUAUUAUUUAUUAGAUAGCGUGGAAGAGUUUUUUGAUCAUGAUGGAAGUUUCAAAGAAAUUAAAUAUUCUUUUUUAAGUUAAGUGCUAUUGGAUUUGAAAUGUGACGACACGACAGCGACGUUUCAAAUAAAUAUGCCACUAUUGGAUUUGAGAUAUGACGAUGGGGAUGCUGGAUCAUGUGACCGACAUCUUACCAUCAAAAUGACUGAAGUUGAAGACAUUCUGCGCAUGCGUGAAAAAUCGCUGAACGCACGCCGUCCUUGCGAUGCAGGGAUCCUGGCGACACGACGCGAAGGCCAUUGCGACGAGACGCGCUUAGGAGAGCAGCCACCAUCGCAGGAAGUGACGUCACGAAAGGUAAA
Molecule: long non-coding RNA, 820 nt
Filed under: Androctonus crassicauda
Lineage: Eukaryota; Metazoa; Arthropoda; Arachnida; Scorpiones; Buthidae
Source: RNAcentral